GGGGUUGUAGCUCAGUUCGUAGAGUGCUUACCUUGAAUAUAUAAGGCCCUGGGUUCAAUCCCCAGCACCA
This 70-nucleotide transfer RNA is filed under the name Ictidomys tridecemlineatus (thirteen-lined ground squirrel). Its description in RNAcentral is "Spermophilus tridecemlineatus (thirteen-lined ground squirrel) tRNA". It matches the Rfam family "tRNA". Rfam says of the family: Transfer RNA (tRNA) molecules are approximately 80 nucleotides in length. Their secondary structure includes four short double-helical elements and three loops (D, anti-codon, and T loops). The record is from Rfam by way of RNAcentral. Lineage: Eukaryota; Metazoa; Chordata; Mammalia; Rodentia; Sciuridae.